RNAcentral lists this non-coding RNA (30 nucleotides) under Mus musculus (house mouse). Lineage: Eukaryota; Metazoa; Chordata; Mammalia; Rodentia; Muridae. The record is from RNAcentral.
UGAGAAGUGCCAUUGCAUCUUGGAAUCUUG